UCCAGACUCCUACGGGAGGCAGCAGUGGGGGAUAUUGCACAAUGGGGGAAACCCUGAUGCAGCGACGCCGCGUGUGGGAAGACGGUCCUCUGGAUUGUAAACCACUGUCCCCAGGGACGAAGAUGACGGUACCUGGGGAGGAAGCCCCGGCUAACUACGUGCCAGCAGCCGCGGUAAUACGUAGGGGGCAAGCGUUGUCCGGAUUUACUGGGUGUAAAGGGAGCGUAGACGGCAAUACAAGUCGGAAGUGAAAUACCCGGGCUCAACCUGGGAACUGCUUUGGAAACUGUAUGGCUGGAGUGCUGGAGAGGUAAGCGGAAUUCCUAGUGUAGCGGUGAAAUGCGUAGAUAUUAGGAGGAACACCAGUGGCGAAGGCGGCUUACUGGACAGUAACUGACGUUGAGGCUCGAAAGCGUGGGGAGCAAACAGGAUUAGAUACCCCGGUAC
This 447-nucleotide ribosomal RNA is filed under the name uncultured bacterium. RNAcentral describes it as "bacterial SSU rRNA". It matches the Rfam family "Bacterial small subunit ribosomal RNA", at positions 330 to 793 of the family's 1533-position model. The record is from RNAcentral.